Molecule: unclassified non-coding RNA, 406 nt
Filed under: soil metagenome
Description: partial contains 5.8S ribosomal RNA, internal transcribed spacer 2, and large subunit ribosomal RNA
Rfam family: 5.8S ribosomal RNA (bases 1-121)
Source: RNAcentral
GAUGAAGAACGCAGCGAAAUGCGAUAAGUAAUGUGAAUUGCAGAAUUCAGUGAAUCAUCGAAUCUUUGAACGCACCUUGCGCCCUUUGGCCAUUCCGAAGGGCAUGCCUGUUUGAGUAUCAUGAACACCUCAACUCUUCAUGGUUUUCCAUGAUGAGCUUGGACUUUGGGGGUCUUGCUGGCCUGUGGGUCGGCUCCUCUCAAAUGAAUCAGCUUGCCGGUUUUUGGUGGGCAUCACAGGUGUGAUAACUAUCUACGCUUGUGGUUUUCCACCAGGGUAACCUUCAGCAGUGGAGGUUCACUGGAGCUUACAAAUGUCUCUCCUCUGUGAGGACAGCCCUUUGAAUGUUUGAUCUCAAAUCAGGUAGGACUACACGCUGAACUUAAGCAUAUCAAUAAGCGGAGGA